UCCCUGGUGGUCUAAUGGCUAGGAUUCGGCGCUUUCACCGCCGCGGCCCGGGUUCGAUUCCCGGUCAGGGAA
Transfer RNA from Nomascus leucogenys (northern white-cheeked gibbon), 72 nucleotides. It matches the Rfam family "tRNA". Rfam says of the family: Transfer RNA (tRNA) molecules are approximately 80 nucleotides in length. Their secondary structure includes four short double-helical elements and three loops (D, anti-codon, and T loops). Further hydrogen bonds mediate the characteristic L-shaped molecular structure. tRNAs have two regions of fundamental functional importance: the anti-codon, which is responsible for specific mRNA codon recognition, and the 3' end, to which the tRNAs corresponding amino acid is attached (by aminoacyl-tRNA synthetases). tRNAs cope with the degeneracy of the genetic code in two manners: having more than one tRNA (with a specific anti-codon) for a particular amino acid; and 'wobble' base-pairing, i.e. permitting non-standard base-pairing at the 3rd anti-codon position. Lineage: Eukaryota; Metazoa; Chordata; Mammalia; Primates; Hylobatidae. The record is from Rfam.